This 404-nucleotide ribosomal RNA is filed under the name Verrucomicrobiota bacterium. Its description in RNAcentral is "Verrucomicrobia bacterium partial 16S ribosomal RNA". It matches the Rfam family "Bacterial small subunit ribosomal RNA", at positions 355 to 776 of the family's 1533-position model. The record is from RNAcentral. Lineage: Bacteria; Pseudomonadati; Verrucomicrobiota.
UGGGGUAUUUUGCACAAUGGGGGAAACCCUGAUGCAGCGACGCCGCGUGAGCGAAGAAGGUUUUCGAAUCGUAAAGCUCUGUCUUAUGAGAAGAUAAUGACGGUAUCAUAGGAGGAAGCCCCGGCUAAAUACGUGCCAGCAGCCGCGGUAAUACGUAGGUGGCAAGCGUUGUUCGGAAUUAUUGGGCGUAAAGCGCGCGCAGGUGGUUUAGAAAGUCUGAUGUGAAAGCCCACGGCUCAACCGUGGAGGGUCAUUGGAAACUAAUAAACUUGCGUGCGGAGGAGAAGAGUGGAAUUCCUGGUGUGGCGGUGAAAGGCGUAGAGAUUGGGAGGAAAACCGGUGGCGAAAGCGGCUUUUUGGCCAGCAACUGACACUGAGGCGCGAAAGCGUGGGGAGCAAACAGG